GACGUAGGGGGCCAGCGUUGCUCGGAAUUACUGGGCGUAAAGGGUCUGUAGGCGGUGUGGCAAGUCGGUAGUGAAAUCUCCCGGCUUAACUGGGAGGCUGCUGCCGAAACUGCCAUGCUCGAGUGCGAGAGAGGCGAGUGGAAUUGCAGGUGUAGCGGUGAAAUGCGUAGAUAUCUGCAGGAACACCAGAGGCGAAAGCGGCUCGCUGGAUCGCAACUGACGCUGAGAGACGGAAGCUAGGGGAGCAAACAGG
This 253-nucleotide ribosomal RNA is filed under the name uncultured bacterium. RNAcentral describes it as "partial 16S ribosomal RNA". It matches the Rfam family "Bacterial small subunit ribosomal RNA", at positions 524 to 776 of the family's 1533-position model. The record is from RNAcentral.